AUGACUUUGACUCCAGUUCACUGGUUCUCUUUUCUUGCAACACUUUUGGUAGGUACUAACCACUGCAUAGUGGGUACAUUCCACAAGGUUUGAUGUUUUCAGGGGUCAUCUAGCCAUUACUAUUUCCCUUGUUAAUGUCACUCAGAUCUUUUCCCUUAACCAAAAACUGACUGUUCACUUGCUGCCCAAUUUAUCCCACCUUGUGACAGGUGCC
Pelobates cultripes (western spadefoot toad) is the source of this 214-nucleotide non-coding RNA. The record is from the annotation of a GenBank genome assembly. Lineage: Eukaryota; Metazoa; Chordata; Amphibia; Anura; Pelobatidae.